Molecule: ribosomal RNA, 288 nt
Filed under: uncultured bacterium
Lineage: Bacteria
Description: partial 16S ribosomal RNA
Rfam family: Bacterial small subunit ribosomal RNA
Source: RNAcentral
UUCCUACGGGACGCAGCAGUGGGGGAUAUUGCACAAUGGGGGGAACCCUGAUGCAGCGACGCCGCGUGGGUGAAGGAGUGCUUCGGCAUGUAAAGCCCUAUCGGCAGGGAAGAAGCAAGACGGUACCUGACUAAGAAGCCCCGGCUAACCACGAGCCAGCAGCCGCGGUAAUACGUAGGGGGCGAGCGUUAUCCGGAUUCACUUGGUGUAAAGGGAGCGUAGACGGCCAAGCAAGCCAGGGGGGAAAACCCGGGGCCCAACCCCGGGACUGCCCUUGGAACUGCAGGG